RNAcentral lists this transfer RNA (65 nucleotides) under Gynaikothrips uzeli. Its description in RNAcentral is "tRNA-Ser". Lineage: Eukaryota; Metazoa; Arthropoda; Insecta; Thysanoptera; Phlaeothripidae. The record is from RNAcentral.
GAAUAAUUAACAUAUAAAAUGUAUAUAUUUUGAAAAUAUAAAAAAAAUAAUUUAUUUAUUAUUCU